GGGCGUAAAGCGCAUGCAGGUGGUUUGUUAAGUCAGAUGUGAAAGCCCGGGGCUCAACCUCGGAACUGCAUUUGAAACUGGCGGACUAGAGUACUGUAGAGGGGGGUAGAAUUUCA
Molecule: ribosomal RNA, 116 nt
Filed under: uncultured Vibrio sp.
Lineage: Bacteria; Pseudomonadati; Pseudomonadota; Gammaproteobacteria; Vibrionales; Vibrionaceae
Description: partial 16S ribosomal RNA
Rfam family: Bacterial small subunit ribosomal RNA
Source: RNAcentral